GAUUGAAUGGCUGAAUAUUAGGCGAUAAAUUGUAAAUUUAUUUAUGAGAAUUGUUCUCUUUAAUCA
This 66-nucleotide transfer RNA is filed under the name Anopheles farauti No. 4. RNAcentral's name for it is "tRNA-Tyr". Lineage: Eukaryota; Metazoa; Arthropoda; Insecta; Diptera; Culicidae. The record is from RNAcentral.